CGUCGUUAUAUGUUAUUUGCCUUAAAAAAUUAAAAAAAAAAAAGCCGAUAAAAGGAAUAAAGGUAACGCGCAAUCCCUAACCACUCACAUUCCUUAUCUUCUUCUUCAAUUUUCACGAAUUACAAUCACAACGACUCACUCAGUCACACACACCAGCCCUAACCCUACCUAAGCUAUCAAACGCCAAUGCCGCUGCCGCUGUCAAAUCGAUUCAAGUGCUCCGGCGCUGAGUCUAGCCGUCCUUGAGCCGAUUUGCUUCCUUUUUCUGCCGCCGCUGUCAAUCUCUGCCAUUCUUGAGCCGAUUCACUUCCGCAAAACAGCUGCUGUCAUCUCUGCCGACAUUGCCUCUGUGUUCGUUCACUGUCAGAUGCAGGGUUGUUGUGGUGACACUGCCUCCGCUGUCAAGUCAGUUCAAAUUUUCUGGGUGAUAUCUUGAAAAUGUUGGUGAGAUUGUUGCCAAUGAUAUUCUAAAAUUUUGAAUUCAGGGUUAUUGUUUCACCACUGUGAGUUGCUUUCUCCAAUUUUGCAAUUCUUUCCUCUUAAUUUGCUUUGAAAUAUUUGCUCGUUGGAUUUAUUUCCUCUUCAUUUAUAAUCGAUUUGGUGAUUUUGUGUUGUGUAGCUUGUACCUUAGUCUCUCCUUUUCCUUUCAUAAUAUUAUAAAAUAUGUCGUGCACUUUGGCCUUUCGUUUCUUGAUUUUCUUGGUUAAUGAAUUUGGAAAAAGAGUGAAUUAUGGGUAAGGGGAUAGAAAAUCACAUUGACAGAAAAGAGGACUGAAAAAGACUGAUUUUUACUAAGGCUCAAUUUAUUAAAUAGAGCUUAUAACAGUAGAGUUUAUAUUAAUAGAGUUUUUGGAUAAAAAGUCAUUAGGUGUUUGGUUGUCAAUAAAAAAAGUAUUUUUGAACCAUUAAAAUGUGUGAUAUUUUUUAUAUUAGAUAUUUUUAAAAAAGCUCUAUAACCUCUACUCCUAAAAGUUCUAUUUGGUAUGGCUUUUGCUAGUAGAGGUAAAUUAGCUUAUUUAAGCUAAAAAAACUCUACUAAAAAAAUAAUCAAAUACCAUAAAAAUUUUUAAAAAGUGCUUACACGAUUAAAUAAACACUUAUGGCUCUUAAAUAAGCCAUACCAAACAGGCACUAAGUGGAGUUUACUUAUUUGUUAAAAAAAUAAAUUUUAAAUUAUUAAUGAUUUAAUUGUCUUAUGCUUAUUAUAUUGUUCGUAAAAUUUUUGUUACAAGUCCAGCCCAUGAACCUCUUUAUAUUUUAGCAUUUCUUUAUUUAUUUACGAAACGAAAACCAGCGUUCGGAUUCAAAAGGAACAAAACAGAAAAAGGAAGAAAGGAAACAAGAGGAUAACAGGACGUGAGAGAGGAGAAGAGGGAGAAAGAAGAGAAAGACAAGAGAGGCUAGGUGAAGGAUUUGGAUUUAAAGAGAGAGAAUUCAAUUUCAGAGCAAAAUAUUAAAUAUCUGGCUUUUUGAAUUUGUAAGCCUUCUUUCUCAGUUCACUUUAUUCUUUUAUUUUUCUUCAAAAUUCUUGUUUAAAUUAGCAUGCAUGUUGAUGUUGUUAAGUCAUUUCUAAAUUAACUUGCAUGCAUGAUUAAAAUUCUGUUUAUUUAGGUAUUAUGUCAUUGAAAUUAGUCUCUUUUGCCAUGCUUGUUUCAAGUUCCGAUUCUUAUUUGAAAAAAAAAAAAAAAUUCUAUGUUUGUUCCAUAAAUCUGUUUUGGGUAUUAAAGUUGAUACUACCUAGCAAAUUCUAAACUGUAAUGGCUGAUUUCUUCUCUUAUUUUUGUUUAAUCUAUUCAAAUUCAUGUAUAAAUUUACAGGUGUCAGAUAUAUGCCUAAUUAUCAUGUUUGUGUUAAAUUCAUUUUGGGUGAAUUUUUAUACUAUUUAAUCAACUUCAAAGUUACAUGGGUUUGGCCAAUUAUCACAUAAUCUCUUCUUUGACUAUUUGAUUAGAUUUUUGUUCAUGCGUGGCUUAAUUAAUUUCGAAAUCUUCUUACUUAUAAAGCAUUAAUAUCUUUUUCAAUUAAAUUCUCUAAAUUUUGCUGGCUGCCGUAUGAACAACUCUAAUUUUUUUUCCUUAAAUAAAUUUGUUUGAGUUCUAAUUAAUACUUUAAUUUAAUAGAUUAUAAUUUAAAUCUUGCAGCAGAUUACAAUUUAUGGUGCUAAUGGUAUUUUUUUUAUUUAAUCCAUUGUUUUGUUCUUCAGGCUAUUGAUCCUAAGACUUGCAUGGUUUUAUUCAAAAUGCUAAAUUGGGUUGUAUUCCAGUGGCUGUAUUUUGACGGGAAAGAAGUAUGUAGUGCUACACUUCUUUUUUAUUUUUUAUUUAUUUUAUUGUCAUUAUUAUUUAGCUUAACGGCAACCCAAUUUUCUCCCUACCCUUGUGAGUGUGGUCAAACCCCAAACAAAUGAAGAAGUUUUUUGGUUUUAUGUCUUAAAUAGAGUGCCUGUAAAUAUAAAAUCGAGAUUGAGCUAAUGAGUGAAAAUGGUGAUACUUGGAUUUUUUGAGGCUCUGCUUUUUUUUCUUUACUUUAAAAGCUAAUUUGUUUAGCUUUACCUUUGAUUUGAAUUUUUUGUUUCUGUUCUUUGCAGCCAACCAUUGAAAAUGGUGAUAAUCGGGCUCCAAUAAAUAUUGAUUUAAUAGGAACCACAUUGGUAAGCCUAGUUGCAAGACAAGAACUACUUUGCAAAGCAUGCUAUGUGUAUAAUUCUGAGCAUUAAGGAUUCAGUUUCUGAAGGGCGAGCUUGCUGGCUGGGUAUAAAUGUUCCAAGUGCCAAUCCCACCUUAUGUAAGCACAAAAUAGUCUCCAUUUCCUUUUUGGAUUAUAUUUGUUUGUAUAGUUAUAUGAUACUGGAUUUUAAUUUAAGAAUUUGUGCAGUACAUUUUUUGACUGUUAGGAGUUACUUUGAUCAAGGUUAUUUAAGUACUAAACUGUUAUAAUUGAGCUUGUAUAUGUAAAUGACAAUUAUAUCAAUGUGUAAUGUAAAUUGAAAUUUGCCAAUGUGGCUUCAAUUGUACAGUUUAGAAUGUGAAAACAACUAUCUAAAUUUUAAUUUAAAAAAACAAUUGAAG
Molecule: long non-coding RNA, 3068 nt
Filed under: Citrus maxima (pomelo)
Lineage: Eukaryota; Viridiplantae; Streptophyta; Magnoliopsida; Sapindales; Rutaceae
Description: long non-coding RNA (CMAX_LNC003789)
Source: RNAcentral